GACGAACGCUGGCGGCGUGCUUAACACAUGCAAGUCGAACGGAAAGGCCCUGCUUUUGUGGGGUGCUCGAGUGGCGAACGGGUGAGUAACACGUGAGUAACCUGCCCUUGACUUUGGGAUAACUUCAGGAAACUGGGGCUAAUACCGGAUAGGAGCUCCUGCUGCAUGGUGGGGGUUGGAAAGUUUCGGCGGUUGGGGAUGGACUCGCGGCUUAUCAGCUUGUUGGUGGGGUAGUGGCUUACCAAGGGUUUGACGGAUAGCCGGCCUGGGAGGGUGACCGGCCACAUUGGGACUGAGAUACGGCCCAGACGCCUACGGGAGGCAGCAGUGGGGAAUAUUGCACAAUGGGCGGAAGCCUGAUGCAGCAACGCCGCGUGCGGGAUGACGGCCUUCAGGUUGUAAACCGCUUUCGCCUGUGACGAAGCGUGAGUGACGGUAAUGGGUAAAGAAGCACCGGCUAACUACGUG
RNAcentral lists this ribosomal RNA (468 nucleotides) under uncultured bacterium. Its description in RNAcentral is "partial 16S ribosomal RNA". It matches the Rfam family "Bacterial small subunit ribosomal RNA", at positions 28 to 507 of the family's 1533-position model. The record is from RNAcentral.